GACGGAGGGUGCUAGCGUUGUUCGGAAUUACUGGGCGUAAAGGGCGCGUAGGCGGCUGCUCAAGUCGGGUGUGAAAGCCCGGGGCUCAACCCCGGAACGGCACCCGAGACUGGGCGGCUCGAGACCGGGAGAGGUGGGUGGAAUACCCAGUGUAGAGGUGAAAUUCGUAGAUAUUGGGUGGAACACCGGUGGCGAAGGCAGGUCUCUGGGCCACUACUGACGCUGAGAAGCGAAAGCGUGGGGAGCAAACAGG
This 253-nucleotide ribosomal RNA is filed under the name uncultured bacterium. RNAcentral describes it as "partial 16S ribosomal RNA". It matches the Rfam family "Bacterial small subunit ribosomal RNA", at positions 524 to 776 of the family's 1533-position model. The record is from RNAcentral.